GUACACGCUGUGACUAGCAUAUCAAUAAGCGGAGGAAAAGAAACUAACAAGGAUUCCCCUAGUAACGGCGAGUGAAGCGGGAAGAGCUCAAAUUUGAAAUCUUAAAGGGUUUCCCUUUACGAAUUGUAGUUUAAAGAAGUGUUUUCUGUUGAGGUUUUGGUAAAAGUUCUUUGGAAUAGGACAUCAUAGAGGGUGAGAAUCCCGUAUUUGACCUUUACUUUCAACUUUGUGAUACACUUUCAAAGAGUCGGAUUGUUUGGGAAUGCAGUCCAAAAUGGGUGGUAAAUUUCAUCUAAAGCUAAAUAUUGGCGAGAGACCGAUAGCGAACAAGUACCGUGAGGGAAAGAUGAAAAGAACUUUGAAAAGAGAGUUAAACAGUACGUGAAAUUGUCAAAAGGGAAGCGUUUGACACCAGUGUUGUUUUUCUGGAAAUCAAUUAAAGAACUGUUUAUGCUAAGCUGUUUAGACUUUAUCAGCUAUCUGUUUAGUUUUGAGCUUUUCUUUAAUGCACUUUUCAGUUAACAAGUCAACAUCAAUUUCUUUUGCUGUAAAAAAGCUUGAGGAAGGUGGCUUGAGAUUCGUCUUAAGUGUUUAUAGCCUCUUGCCUAUGCAGUCGGAGAGAUUGAGGUCUGCAGCGUAGAUCCUUCGGGGCUAAAUGCAUUUGUGCUAAGUUAUAGCAUUUUAUAGACAACUUGUUGACUAUGAUUUGUCUUGUAGCUUACUCGCUUAUGUUAUUUUACCUACGCUUAGGAUGUUGAGUCGUAGAGCACGCAG
Molecule: ribosomal RNA, 774 nt
Filed under: uncultured Neocallimastigales
Lineage: Eukaryota; Fungi; Neocallimastigomycota; Neocallimastigomycetes; Neocallimastigales
Description: partial large subunit ribosomal RNA
Rfam family: Eukaryotic large subunit ribosomal RNA
Source: RNAcentral